GCUGGCUGUACCGCUAAGAAUCAAAGCCUUGCAGUGGAACAUGACUGACAAGUAGGUUUUGCUCUUCUGAGAUAUGAAGAGACCAGGUGGUCAUUCCUACCAGGGAGAAGUGAGGCUCAGUGGCGUGGCUGUCCCGGGCAAGGAGGGGGAAAAAAAAUACAGCAAACAAAAAAAGCCACUUCAAAUAGUUCAGCCAGUAGCAAAUCUGAAUCAAGUCUGCAGACAUGGAGAUGAGAGAAAUGCAGCUGAGUUGAACGUUGAGGGCGUGAAAACUUCAGGAAGUUGCUAG
Molecule: long non-coding RNA, 289 nt
Filed under: Gopherus agassizii (Agassiz's desert tortoise)
Lineage: Eukaryota; Metazoa; Chordata; Testudines; Testudinidae
Description: lncRNA (ENSGAGG00000007359.1)
Source: RNAcentral